This 163-nucleotide ribosomal RNA is filed under the name Diospyros punctilimba. RNAcentral's name for it is "5.8S ribosomal RNA". It matches the Rfam family "5.8S ribosomal RNA". Rfam says of the family: 5.8S ribosomal RNA (5.8S rRNA) is a component of the large subunit of the eukaryotic ribosome. It is transcribed by RNA polymerase I as part of the 45S precursor that also contains 18S and 28S rRNA. The record is from RNAcentral. Lineage: Eukaryota; Viridiplantae; Streptophyta; Magnoliopsida; Ericales; Ebenaceae.
AAACGACUCUCGGCAACGGAUAUCUCGGCUCUCGCAUCGAUGAAGAACGUAGCGAAAUGCGAUACUUGGUGUGAAUUGCAGAAUCCCGUGAACCAUCGAGUCUUUGAACGCAAGUUGCGCCCGAAGCGAGUCGGCCGAGGGCACGUCUGCCUGGGCGUCACGC